GCUUGGAUAGCUCAGUUGGUUAGAACAUGGUGCUGAUAACACUAAGGUUGCAGGUUUGAUCCCCGUAUGGGACA
Molecule: transfer RNA, 74 nt
Filed under: Podarcis lilfordi (Lilford's wall lizard)
Lineage: Eukaryota; Metazoa; Chordata; Lepidosauria; Squamata; Lacertidae
Description: tRNA.Ile
Source: RNAcentral